CCCUUAGAUGUCCGGGGCCGCACGCGCGCUACACUGAAGGAAUCAGCGUGGCUUUCUCCCUGACCCGAAAGGGUUGGGAAACCCGUUGAAUCUCCUUCGUGAUAGGGAUUGGGGCUUGAAAUUGUUCCCCAUGAACGAGGAAUUCCCAGUAAGCGCGAGUCAUAAGCUCGCGUUGAUUAAGUCCCUGCCCUUUGUACACACCGCCCGUCGCUACUACCGAUUGGAUGGUUUAGUGAGGCCCUCGGAUCGGCCCCGCCGGGGUCGGCCCACGGCCCUGGCGGAGCGCUGAGAAGACGGUCGAACUUGACUAUCUAGAGGAAGUAAAAGUCGUAACA
RNAcentral lists this ribosomal RNA (335 nucleotides) under uncultured eukaryote. RNAcentral's name for it is "partial 18S ribosomal RNA". It matches the Rfam family "Eukaryotic small subunit ribosomal RNA", at positions 1470 to 1796 of the family's 1831-position model. The record is from RNAcentral.